This 907-nucleotide ribosomal RNA is filed under the name uncultured archaeon. Its description in RNAcentral is "bacterial SSU rRNA". It matches the Rfam family "Archaeal small subunit ribosomal RNA", at positions 21 to 916 of the family's 1478-position model. The record is from RNAcentral.
CCCGACCGCUAUCGGGGUAGGGCUAAGCCAUGCGAGUCGCGCGCCCGGGGGCGCCCGGGAGCGGCGCACGGCUCAGUAACACGUGCCCAACCUACCCUCGGGAGGGGGACACCCCCGGGAAACUGGGGCCAAUCCCCCAUAGGGGAAGGGCGCUGGAAGGCCCCCUCCCCGAAAGGACGGCGGCCGAUCCGCCGCCGCCCGCCCGAGGAUGGGGGCACGGCCCAUCAGGUAGUUGGCGGGUUAAAGGCCCGCCAAGCCGAAGACGGGUAGGGGCGGUGAGAGCCGCGAGCCCCGAGAUCGGCACUGAGACAAGGGCCGAGGCCCUACGGGGUGCAGCAGGCGCGAAUACUCCGCAAUGCGGGCAACCGCGACGGGGCUACCCCGAGUGCCGGGCGAAGAGCCCGGCUUUUGCCCGGUCUAAAACGCCGGGAGAAUAAGCGGGGGGCAAGUCUGGUGUCAGCCGCCGCGGUAAUACCAGCUCCGCGAGUGGUCGGGGUGUUUACUGGGCUUAAAGCGCCCGUAGCCGGCCCGGCAAGUCGCUCCUGAAAUCCCAGGGCUCAACCCUGGGGCAGGGGGCGAUACUGCCGGGCUAGGGGGCGGAAGAGGCCGCCGGUACUCCGGGGGUAGGGGCGAAAUCCGUUAAUCCCCGGAGGACCACCAGUGGCGAAAGCGGGCGGCCAGAACGCGCCCGACGGUGAGGGGCGAAAGCCGGGGGAGCAAAGGGGAUUAGAUACCCCUGUAGUCCCGGCCGUAAACGAUGCGGGCUAGCUGUCGGCUGGGCUUAGGGCCCGGCCGGUGGCAAAGGAAACCGUUAAGCCCGCCCCUGGGGAAUACGGCCGCAAGGCUAAACUUAAAGGAAUUGGCGGGGGGCACCACAAGGGGUGAACUUGCGGCUUAUUGGAUCAAC